Molecule: long non-coding RNA, 3072 nt
Organism: Triticum aestivum (bread wheat)
Lineage: Eukaryota; Viridiplantae; Streptophyta; Magnoliopsida; Poales; Poaceae
Exons: 3
Source: RefSeq, a predicted model, not a curated record
CGACUCAACUGGCUCAAUCGCUGUGUGACAAGCCUCGCACCGGCCACUCAUAAAAAAAAGACCCACAUGCCACACUGUUCCCCUCUCUGUCUUAUCUCCUUCCUCUAGAGAGGACUGGUCACUGUUUUUCCCCACCGCAAGCGCUGCUCCGGCCAAAUCCGGUCAGCUUGUACUGCUCCGGCGAUGCCCUCCCUUCGUAGGCUCACCUCUUUGCGCUGCUUCUUAUCCAUCCGCGUGCCCCCAUGGCUUCUACUGGCUGCUGCAAUGAAUGGUCGGGGGAUGAAGGUGCCGCGCGAAUCCACCUGAGACGCUGCUGCUGCACAACGGCGAGCUCAACGAGCCCGACGACGACGGCAAGCUGGAGGCUCAUACCGGCGGGCUCGAUAAGGAAUACGAGGACGGCGAUUCCCAGAGUAGCCCGAGCGACCUGGAAGCGGAGGAGGGUAGCAGCCAUAGGAGGCGUCGUCUACGCCAUAGGAGGGUAGCAGCCAGAGGACGGCGAUUCUCAUAUGCCUGGGCCGCCGGCCCGCCGCGCUGCAACGCCCUCCACGAUGGGCGCCCCAAGAUUCUUCGGCCGCAGGAGGCGUCUGACGGCAGCGGCGCGUCUCCGGCCAAAUCCGGUCAAAUCCACUGGAAAAACAGUGGCAGCGGCGCGGCAGCUGGACCUCGCAGCCCUCCUGCCCGGCCAAGCGACAAGCCCCAAUAGCAGAACCCAAUGGUCGUCGCGCAGCAGCUUUCUUGAUGUUAGAAGAGUGAAAGCAGAGCAAGGGAGAGCAUGUGAUUGUUUGAUAAUCCCUUAAUUCUUCACGGCCAUAUGAUGCUGUCCAACCAAGUUUGUGUUUCCACAUUGCUUCUUAUGGAAUUGAAAGCGUCUUCAAAGGCUUCCUCUUCCUCAUACUUGUACAUGCAAGCACUGAAAUCAGCAAGUACAUUUGGUCCAUCCUCGUCUUUUUUCUUAUGAGGUAAGUGCCUGAUGGCAUUUUCCAUUAUGUGAAAAGUGCACAACCCAUGCCAUGCUUCGGUAAAUACUGCCUGAAUUGCAUUACCCAUUGCUACAUCUUGAUCAGUAAAGAUUGUCCUUGGUUGUUUUUUGUUAUGCACUGAUAGGAACGUGUUGAACAACCAUUUGAAUGAUUCAAAUGUUGAAUGAUUCAAAUGUCUCAUCAUAUAAAAGUGCAGCACCAAAAAUGACCAUUUCUCUGAAAUGGUUGAAGCCAACAAACACACCAAAGGGUAUGUACUCUUUGUUUGUCCCAAAUGUUGUAUCGAAGGUAACAACAUCACCGAAAUGAGCAUAGUCAAUUAUCAUCCUUGCAUCAGACCAGAAGAUAUUUGCUAUAUUUUCAUCGCAAUCUAGUUGCAGGUCAUAUUCAAAUGCAGGAUUCUCAUUCUUUUUAUCUCUAAAAUACUUGAGCAUACUUCCAGCUUCACCAUACAUCAGGUCCCUUUGUCGCUUGGUUCACAAGUGGUUCUUGCGAUCACGACAUGUGUAGCCAAGGUUCAGUGGACCACCAACUUGUCGACUUGCUAGCUCAUGGGCUUUUCUGGGUACAAUUCCUGAAUCAUCUGAUGUUUCAAUUUCAAAUGCUUGCAAGGCCGAAAUCUUCCUCUGUGAUGGCAUCAAGUGGCUUGUCCCAGGUAAUUGCAAGACAUGGUUGUGUUCAACAACUAACUCAUGCACCUCAUAAUUUCCUGCUUCUCGGUCUAUAGUAAUUCCCAUUCGAACAUUGCAGCCGGUCCUUGUUUCUGCACGAGGACGCUUUGUACUAUUAUCCCUUUUGUCUUUUCUUCUGUAGCCCUCAUUGGAACAAACAUAUCUGGCUGAAGUGAUUACUCCAUCGAGUUUGCUCUUGUUUUCAUAAUUUAUCCUUACAUCAAAACCAAUAUGACCUCCAUAACAUGUCCAAAAGUUCCAAGCCUCUUUUGUGGAAUUGAAUUUCAUACCAAUCUGAGGCAUCCAACUAGGAACCACAUUUUUCCUAUAAAAAUUACACAUAAAUUAUUUGUUUGUAUGUUUACACUACAAUCAUAAGGUGAUAUGACCUGAGAAUUUAACAAAACUGUCGGUACCUGUUAGCAUCCUCAUUAGAGCUAGUCAUAUUCUCCAUUAGACUUUCUCUUCUUUUUUGUUGCUAGGAGAAGGACAACAAAAGGGAGAUCAUCUGCAUUAAUCUCCUGUAAUGUUUUGGAAAUCCCAGGUACUUGAUGAGCAAAUCAUCUAUCUUACAAGUAAAUAUUUGAAUAUAUUCAUGCAUUUUAUCUUGAGCUUGUCCAAAACAAUAGAGAUCACUUCUAUUAAAAUUAUUUUUUCACUCUAACAUAAUCUAAAAGGUGCAGAAAAUAAGUUUUGCAUCUUGCCCUUAUCAUCCUCCAUUUAAGAAAAUAGUACCAUAGCAAACUCAAUCUACAAAUUGUGUGCCUUGAGAAUAUGAAUACAAUUAGAGCAUAUGUCACAUACCUUGAGAUUAAUUGUCUUCUUUUUUGUUGCUAGAAGAAGGAAGGCAAAAGGGAGAUAAUAUUCAUCGCCUACGGAUCAGCUUGCCUUGGUUUCGCUCUGAACAUGGAGGAUGAUCAGAAGAAAGAUAGGGCAAAAGGGAGUUGAUCUGCGCCAGGGUUCGGCCCCUUAUCUUGCCUUGGUUGUGCUCUGAACACGAAGGACGAUCAGAAGAAAGAUAGGGCAAAAGGGAGUUGAUCUGCGCCAGGGUUCGGCUCCUUAGCUUGCCUUGGUUGCGCUCUGAACAUGGAGGACGAUCAGAAGAAAGAUAGGGCAAAAGGAGGAACGAGGAAGAUGAGCGGGACAAACGCAAAGAGGUUGUUGUUUAGCGCCAUGGCGAUUAUCAGGGUGUGUUUUGUUUGGCGCCAAUGUGAGUAUCUUCGUGGUUCUGUUUGGCGGCAAUCCUGCAGCCGUAGGAUAUUUUGUACCACAUAAUUAGCUGUUUGUUUCCAUUUAUUAACAGAAUCAAGUGGGGGUAGUGAGAGUCGUCAGAUUUAAAUGGACGGCUAAUGUGAGUUGGUACAGUACCCGUGCAGUAAUAACGUGACUGCAGAGGAGCCGAACCCGUUAUAUAUGCU